Molecule: long non-coding RNA, 2063 nt
Organism: Coturnix japonica (Japanese quail)
Lineage: Eukaryota; Metazoa; Chordata; Aves; Galliformes; Phasianidae
Source: Ensembl
CACUGUCCAAAAUGAAUUGGAGAUUACAGAGAGUCCCAUCACAGCACUGACACCUCAUCCCAGCUUUCAAGGCUCAAUGGGUUCCAUGAGCAGCAUCUCCUGGGUGGGAUGGUGGUUAACACCACACUGGUUUCUCUUCUCGUCAUGGCUGAGGAUACCUACUUGGGAAGGGAGGUAGCUAAAUGGAAAUGAAAGAGCACUAUGGGCAACAGGGGAAAAGAGAGCAGGUGUAGAGGGGAAGAGGAAGGAGGAAGAAGAGGAGGAAGAAGAGGAGGAAGAAGGCAUCAAACAACUGACAGAAGAAGGCAAUGUUGCAGGAAUAACUGAAACUCUCAUUUGGGACCUCUCACCAGGGGACAACCAGUGUGGUUGUAAGAAGCAAGGAAAUCAGAGACUCCAGCAAUGCUCAGCUGUAACAGCAUGAGCACACUCAGAAAAAUGUGCCAAUGGGGGAAAUAGGGAAAUUUGGGGCUGGAAAUUUGGUACCACAGAGAAUCUGACCUCUUGCUAUCUGCAAAAGACAUCAGUGCCCCCUCCGCACUGCUGUACUUAAUUAAAAUUGGCAUUGACCGCAUGAACAGGAGGUGUAACAGAAGCUAUGGAAGCUUCAAAGCUAUUUGCACACAACAAAAUGUAGAUAAAUUGUGGAAGUGUAGUAGUUUUUUCUUUUGGAAAGUUUCUUCUAAGGAAGCCACUGUGCUGCAGAUACUGGCAAGCAGCUGGGAGAACAAACUUCCAGCACAGUGGAGGCCGCUGGGAAGAGAGGCCAAGCUCUCUGUCAGAGACCCAACAUCAUACGCCUUUUGUGUUGAAAUCUGUGAAAACUUGGGCAGCUACUUCCUAAUGAUUCUUUCUUUGAAAAUGCUUCAGGAGCAAGGCAAGGAAAAGAAGACCCUGUGAUAAUUCAGCACAGGGUAUACAUUAAGUUUCUGGUGCCUGUCAUAAUCAGCCAGCUUGUCUCAGUGCAUGCCACUCAGCAUGGCAGUGUCUGUGCCAGAUAAGGGGCAAUCCCUCCAUCCCACCCCCAGAUCUUUGUCACUGCUCUCCUUCAGAGGAGCAGUGAGAUCCUUGGCCAGAGGUGGUCAAUGAGGAGUAUUAUCAGCCAUAGGACUUGGCUGCAAGAACACUUCCAGCCGUGACGGCCACAGGUAGGACUACGGCAAUGGCCAUGGGUCAAACUGAGCCCACAGUGGUCUCACCACACAGAUAUACAAAAGAUCAAAGCCACCAACAAACACACCUUUUAGAAAUCACUAAGCUAUCUAAACCAUACACCAGAGAAGAGUUAGAUGUGAAAACAUUCCUUGAGAUUCUCACAGGGAUUGAGGCAAAUGGCUGUAUUAAAGAAAGAGGUCUGGAAGGUUAGAGGAAGGAAGCAUUAAUUUAGGUAGGGAUGCCAGGGCAUGGACGGGCUGCGGGUGAAACUGACAGCACCUCCCAGAAAGAAAUGGUUGCUAUAUAGCGUUAGAAAUUGAGGAGGGCAGAGGUCUCCUGCUGGGGCCGGGAAGGAAAUUUCUACACCAGUGCAGGGAUCAGGAGAGCACCUGGUCACUAUUUGCUGCUUUCCUACACAGUUCUGCCUGCUCAGUUUGGCUGUAAGUGAUGGCGUUCAUCACUUUUCAGAGAUGGCAUUUCUUCUGUAUGAUGCUAUUUACUCAGGGAGUAUGAGGAGGUAACCCGUUGAUUAUCUUAGCGGACAGAAGGAAUGGAAAGUCAAGUUUCAAGCUAUUGCCAUGACUUAAGAAACAUGCAAGGCUUUUGCCUCUGGACAUAAUCAAGUCAACGUGUUCAGUAUUGGUUUAUGCUUAAAAAGCAAAGUAAAAGCAGAUGAAGUGUAUUUAUAGGCUCAUCAGCCAAUGAAUGGAUGAAAGGGAAAAAGAAAUUAAUGGGAAAAUGUCAGCCAGGAUAGAGGAGGGACUCACUGCGAAGUUCAUGUCCAGACCAACAAUUUGGAGUUAAUUCCAAUGACUGGAAUAUACUGAUUUACAGUAGAAGAUAAAUUGACAUUUUAUCAACUUUGAAUAUAAAAUAAACGAGUAAAAUUAGCCUAAUGUGAGGGAGAU